CCCUUAGAUGUUCUGGGCGGCCCGCGCACUACAAUGGCGUGUGCAGCGAGUGCCGAAGUAGAGUUUUCCGAGGUAUUCUUGCAAGGCUCGUUUUGAUGGGGAUAGACCCUUGCAACUGUUGGUUUUGAACGAGGAAUUCCUUGUAAGCAUGGUUUAUCAUCCGACGCUGAAUGCGUCCCUGCCCUUUGUACACACCGCCCGUCGCUCCUACCGAUGAGUCGUCCGGUGAAGUUCGUAGACCUCGUGAUCGCGGAUCACUGGGGGAAGCAAAAUGAACCUCGCGGUUUAGAGGAAGGAGAAGUCGUAACA
RNAcentral lists this ribosomal RNA (309 nucleotides) under uncultured eukaryote. Its description in RNAcentral is "partial 18S ribosomal RNA". It matches the Rfam family "Eukaryotic small subunit ribosomal RNA", at positions 1470 to 1796 of the family's 1831-position model. The record is from RNAcentral.